GGGAGAGAGGAGAGGAGGAACAGAGGUUUGGAGAGCACCAUGGGUUGGCAGGGUCGUCCCCGAGUUCCAGUGGUGUGACUGGGAGCCUAGGUGAUAGAGAUUGUAUCUCACCUGAGUCCAGCCAGAACAGCAACCAAGCAGAUCACCACUCUUCAGGAAUACAGUCUGAUGGUGGUUCUUUGGUGCCAGGCCCAUCUCUGCACUGUCAGAAAAUCGCUCGUGCCAAGUGGGAGUUUCUGUUUGGCACUUCUGCAGAAAACACUGCCAACGAACGAGAGAAGAAUGUUCCAGAAGCCUGUACAGCACCACCUAGUGGCCACUCCACCCCAAUCUUGCCCACUUUUCUGCCACUGGAAGAGCUCGCUCUCAGAGCCAAUCAUGAUGUCCAACACGUGGAGGUGGAGCUUGUGACUCCGCCCCCAGCGACCCCAGGCACCUCGCCCAAAACUGGA
Myxocyprinus asiaticus (Chinese sucker) is the source of this 452-nucleotide long non-coding RNA. RefSeq lists it as uncharacterized. The transcript has 3 exons. Lineage: Eukaryota; Metazoa; Chordata; Actinopteri; Cypriniformes; Catostomidae. The record is from RefSeq and is a predicted model, not a curated record.